This is a long non-coding RNA of Pieris napi, 789 nucleotides long. RefSeq lists it as uncharacterized. The transcript is spliced from 2 exons. The record is from RefSeq and is a predicted model, not a curated record. NCBI's taxonomy places the organism in Eukaryota, Metazoa, Arthropoda, Insecta, Lepidoptera, Pieridae.
UUAUAGGGGAAGAUCGUUACCCUUCGUACGCGGGGCACAUUCAUACAGUCAAAAUAAAACUUGAACGAAACAAAGUACAGUCUUGCUUUUGUAUGUGUGCAUGAGUCAAGGUACCAACUAUACAUCAACGAAGUUUCGUGAAAUUCGCACCGAUGAGAGUGAAGUUACAGGCAUGGACGUGUUUUCGCGCUCGAUGCUGUGAAUAAUUUACCAAUCCAUCAAAUAGUAGUUCCUUCGAAGUCAGUUUUGACACCAGAGGCAUUUCGACCCUAUCCGCAUUUUGUAAGAAGUAAUAAAACAAACAAAAUGACGAUGACGGCCAGGAAAACCACGAAUUUAUACUGCCAAACCCGAAAAUAAGAAGUGCUAAUCCACACCAAAGAGUAAAAAAUGUGAUUCUAAAUUUAAGUUACCUAACUAAUUAAAUUUUGUUUUACAUAAGAAAAGUAUUUUAUUUUUGUUUAAUAGAAGUUAAAUCUUUAUUUUUGUGUUUAAUUUCAUUGCUAAUAAAUGAAUUUUGAACUACCCCACAGCGUAAGAAGGUACCCCUAACACUGUACGAAGGUGCCCCGUUGAUGGGGCAGAUUCGUACGUAUUCCAGAUUUAGUUCAAAUCAUAAUUGUGGUUGAAACAUCGGAUGAAAUCAUUUGUCAUUUUUUUAUUUGAAUCUCAGAUAGUUAGACUAUAAAUUUAAGCUAUCAAGUGAUUGAUUCAUGGAAAAAGAAAAAAUUAAAAAAAUAAAAUGUGAAAACCGUACGAAGGGUCCCCACCUUCCCCUAUAUAAUUUAU